Non-coding RNA from Phalacrocorax carbo (great cormorant), 1956 nucleotides. The record is from RefSeq and is a predicted model, not a curated record. Lineage: Eukaryota; Metazoa; Chordata; Aves; Suliformes; Phalacrocoracidae.
CACCCCACCGCCGUCCCGCCCCCCCCGAGUGCCCUCCCCGGGAGCGCCCCCCGCGAUCGCGCCCCCCCUCCCCGCAGCCCCGGUGCGGAGCUGCAGCAAAGGUACUUCCCUUCCGACGAGCCUGCUGGAGUGGAAAAGCACAAACGGUGGCUACGCUUUGUCCUUGCAGGCGCGGAGCGGAAUAGCGAGGUCCCUCUUCCUCUCAGAAUGGCUGCAGGUGGCUAUGAGGAAAUCCUCAAGUACUACGAAUUGCGUGAAACAAUUGGGACAGACUCACUGUUACCCCGGAAUCUACAGGCCGUGUUUCAAGCGUGUCUCUCAGGGGACAGAACGCUGUGAGUGGAGGUCGGUAGCAGCGAUCGCUUCUCCCUCUAGCGAAGAUGCUGCGCGCUGUGUGCGCUACGGACUCCAGCGUAACUGAGACUGUAGGCCAGAAAGCGUGACAUCGCUCUUAAGCGUCUCUUGUUUGAAGUCUAGGUGGGUUUGCAAAGGUAAAACUUGCGGAACAUCUUCUCACCGGUGAAAAAGUUGCACUAAAAAUCACGGAUAAACUUGCUCUAGGGGUAAGCCAAAAGAUACUUAACAGUCGGUAGCGUCUUCUGCUGUUCCUGUGGCGUUCUCGAGAACAGAGGGGCGCGACACGUCAGUGCCGCCUGCUUGUCCUGUUGGUUAUCGACUGAUGCUGUAGACUGGGAAGAGCGUUAAUAGAAGACCACAAAUCUUGUGCUCUGUUGUGGAGAGGGCAACCUUCUCUGGCUGUAAAAUUGAGGAAGUUAAAGAUGAUUACAGUAAUUGAAACAGAAUGCUGGUGAGGAUGCUAACUAUUUUACACCUGGCCCUCUGGGUUUUGCUGCUCGGUGUGCCAGAACUGUAGGGCAGUAACAGCAGAGCUGUUGCUGGAUUGAAUCUGAGCAGCUGAAUUGUAUGCUGUCAUCUCCGUGCUGUGAAAUUGUGUGUCUCCCAAUAGCCUGACGCUUGCUGUGACGUCCGGGCUGUCCAGGUAGUCGGCAAUUUCAUACCUUGCUGUUGCCGUCUCUUGGGAUGAUUUGCCUCGUGUUAAGGUAGAAAUUGAGGCCACAAAGGACUUAGGUCACCAGCAUAUUUGCCAGUUGUAUCACGUGAUAGAGACAUCCAGGAAAAUAUUUGUGGUCUUAGAGUACUGUCCUGGAGGAGAGCUGCUUGAUGACGUAAUUUCUAAGGACCGCCUUUCGGAAGAGGAAGCUCGUGUAUUUUUUCGGCAGAUUGUUUCAGCAGUUGCUUACGUUCACAGUCGGGGAUACGCCCACAGGGACCUCAAACCGGAAAAUCUGCUGAUUGAUGAGGAACGUAACUUGAAGCUGAUAGACUUUGGACUUUGUGCAAAGCCAAAGGUGAGAGUAUCAGUCGCUUUCUCAGAGCAGAGCUAAGCCAGCUACUGCAGGCACGUGAGCAAAAGCCAUGUUUGACUUCCGCUUGCAGUGCAGAGACUUGCCCAAAGACCCUAAACUCAAGCUGUUUGCACAGUUUUCAUCCAAUCGCUAAUUACGUGGUGGGGCCUUAACUGUGGGAGAGAGCAGUUAACGGCAUGUUAUGACCAGACUGUUAGAUCGUUUUCUCCUCUUACGCUUCACCUUUUAUCCUAGUCUGAGGCAGAGAUCACCUUGCACGUGUAGCACCUGCUGCCACCUAUAACGGCCCAGAAUAUUAAGCUUAUGUUGGUGUGCAUUUUUCCCUAAUAAGUUUUAAUGGUGUCUGUCUCUUUUCAGAAGAUUUGUGUGUAUGUGGAGAUUGUGGACCGAAUCCCGGUUACGGUUAGGAAUCCUCUGGUUCCACGUGAUUGUAGCAAGUUGUUUCCCGAGUUUAAAAUUGGUUCCUAGGAGACCUUUAAAGCCAUUUGUCAGCUUAACACGUGAGGUGGGUGCUGUUAGGAAACAGUUUAAUGGGCAGGUCUUACUGACCCAAGGACAGUUACUUGUC